Phyllostomus discolor (pale spear-nosed bat) is the source of this 862-nucleotide long non-coding RNA. RefSeq lists it as uncharacterized. Lineage: Eukaryota; Metazoa; Chordata; Mammalia; Chiroptera; Phyllostomidae. The record is from RefSeq and is a predicted model, not a curated record. The transcript has 4 exons.
AAAUUGCAAGCCCGCAUCUGCCCUCCGAAAACAAAUCAACAGCCUCUUAGUCCCGCUGUUGCUCAGCUUGCAGGACAACAACACUGAUGUAGUCAAGGCCUGUGGAAGGGCCCUGACUGAAUGGACCAAAGUGAUGGGCUGGCUGCCAUUGACACACCUGUUCCAAGAUACCAACCUCCAUGAUCACAUCCAUGUGCUGGAAGAAACAUGCAAGUACCUGGUGAGCACACGAAAAACUCAGUUCUUGGGGGAUCUACUGCUCCAGAGCUUUGAGUUUCUAAGGAGCACUCAGCCCUUCCUACGAGCAGCUGCAGUCACCUUCAUAGCAUCAAUCACUGUGAAGAUAACCCUGAAGGCCAUACGUGAGGAUGAUGUGCAGCUCUUACAACAUAGUGAGUCUGGGCCUUUUUCCGGGGUUCUGGGUUACACCAGGAGGUGGGGCAAGACAGGAAGGAGGAAGGGGGAAUUCCUUAAGGAUAUGUGUUAUUAUUUUAAGUCAAGUUUCUUUUUACCAAUAUAAAUAUUAUAUACGAAGGCUCCAGUGGACAGAAGUAAGAGGAAGGGAACAAAUGAUCCAUCAUUGGACUCAUUGGAUAAAAACCCUGCUAACAAAACAUUCCAGUCACUGCACCUUUAUCACGUGCUCCAGGUGCUGACAGCACAGUGGUGUGUGAGGCAGACAAGGUCUCUAUCCCCCACAAAGAACUUGCAGUUUUGUGUUCUUUUUAACUGCAUUGAAACAUUUUAAAAUUAAUUUAAAUGUAGGAGAAAUUCAUGAGUAUAGUCUCAUUGGAGAAAAUGAGACUGAUAAGUGUAUAAAAUUCUGUUAAUUCCCAACUCUUGUUCUUCCCCCUCCCCCUGC